Molecule: ribosomal RNA, 397 nt
Filed under: uncultured bacterium
Lineage: Bacteria
Description: partial 16S ribosomal RNA
Rfam family: Bacterial small subunit ribosomal RNA
Source: RNAcentral
AUACGUAGGUGACAAGCGUUAUCCGGAUUUACUGGGCGUAAAGGGCGUGUAGGCGGUCUUGCAAGUCAGAAGUGAAAUUCCUGAGCUCAACUCGGGCGCUGCUUCUGAAACUGCAGGACUUGAGUGCUGGAGGGGAUAGCGGAAUUCCUAGUGGAGCGGUAAAAUGCGUAGAUAUUAGGAGGAACACCGGUGGCGAAGGCGUCUUUCGGGACAUUAACUGACGCUGAGGCGCGAAAGCGGGGGGAGCAAACAGGAUUAUAUACCCGGGUAGUCCACGCCAUAAACGAUGAAUACUAGGUGUAGGGGGUAUCGACCCCCUCUGUGCCGACGUUAACACAUUAAGUAUUCCACCUGGGGAGUACGGCCGCAAGGCUGAAACUCAAAGGAAUUGACGGGG